This 1523-nucleotide ribosomal RNA is filed under the name uncultured bacterium. RNAcentral's name for it is "bacterial SSU rRNA". It matches the Rfam family "Bacterial small subunit ribosomal RNA". The record is from RNAcentral.
GAGAGUUUGAUCCUGGCUCANGACGAACGCUGGCGGCGUGCCUAAUACAUGCAAGUAGAACGCUGAAGAGAGGAGCUUGCUCUUCUUGGAUGAGUUGCGAACGGGUGAGUAACGCGUAGGUAACCUGCCUUGUAGCGGGGGAUAACUAUUGGAAACGAUAGCUAAUACCGCAUAACAAUGGAUGACACAUGUCAUUUAUUUGAAAGGGGCAAUUGCUCCACUACAAGAUGGACCUGCGUUGUAUUAGCUAGUAGGUGAGGUAAUGGCUCACCUAGGCGACGAUACAUAGCCGACCUGAGAGGGUGAUCGGCCACACUGGGACUGAGACACGGCCCAGACUCCUACGGGAGGCAGCAGUAGGGAAUCUUCGGCAAUGGGGGCAACCCUGACCGAGCAACGCCGCGUGAGUGAAGAAGGUUUUCGGAUCGUAAAGCUCUGUUGUAAGUCAAGAACGGGUGUGAGAGUGGAAAGUUCACACUGUGACGGUAGCUUACCAGAAAGGGACGGCUAACUACGUGCCAGCAGCCGCGGUAAUACGUAGUUCCCGAGCGUUGUCCGGAUUUAUUGGGCGUAAAGCGAGCGCAGGCGGUUUUGAUAAGUCUGAAGUUAAAGGCUGUGGCUCAACCAUAGUUCGCUUUGGAAAACUGUCAAACUUGAGUGCAGAAGGGGAGAGUGGGAAUUNCCAUGUGUAGCGGUGAAAUGCGUAGAUAUAUGGAGGAACACCGGUGGCGAAAGCGGCUCUCUGGUCUGUAACUGACGCUGAGGCUCGAAAGCGUGGGGAGCGAACAGGAUUAGAUACCCCUGGUAGUCCACNGCCGUAAACGAUGAGUGCUAGGUGUUGGGAUCCCUUUCCGGGAUUCAGUGNCCGCAGCUAACGCAUUAAGCACUCCGCCUGGGGAGUACGACCGCAAGGUUGAAACUCAAAGGAAUUGACGGGGGCCCGCACAAGCGGUGGAGCAUGUGGUUUAAUUCGAAGCAACGCGAAGAACCUUACCAGGUCUUGACAUCCCGAUGCUAUUUCUAGAGAUAGAAAGUUACUUCGGUACAUCGGUGACAGGUGGUGCAUGGUUGUCGUCAGCUCGUGUCGUGAGAUGUUGGGUUAAGUCCCGCAACGAGCGCAACCCCUAUUGUUAGUUGCCAUCAUUCAGUUGGGCACUCUAGCGAGACUGCCGGUAAUAAACCGGAGGAAGGUGGGGAUGACGUCAAAUCAUCAUGCCCCUUAUGACCUGGGCUACACACGUGCUACAAUGGUUGGUACAACGAGUUGCGAGUCGGUGACGGCGAGCUAAUCUCUUAAAGCCAAUCUCAGUUCGGAUUGUAGGCUGCAACUCGCCUACAUGAAGUCGGAAUCGCUAGUAAUCGCGGAUCAGCACGCCGCGGUGAAUACGUUCCCGGGCCUUGUACACACCGCCCGUCACACCACGAGAGUUUGUAACACCCGAAGUCGGUGAGGUAACCUUUUGGAGCCAGCCGCCUAAGGUGGGACAGAUGAUUGGGGUGAAGUCGUAACAAGGUAGCCGUAG